AGGGUAUAGAACGGUUUGCUCCUGGGAAUGUGAGCUUGCGGCACCAGAGAAUAGUUUCAGGGUUUGUCCAGUCCUGGGCAAGGCUGGCGGGCCCGUGCUCCAGGCCCCUGGGUCAUCGGCAGACUCUGUGUCAUCGCAUUCCAUCAGCUUCUUCUUAGGACAGUAGGACAAUGGCCCCCAGUUAAGACACCCAAAAGUGACUUACUGAAUUCCCUACAAAAAUCCUCUGGGAGGAGAUCAUGAUCAAAAAUGUUUGAUAACUACACCUCUAGAACACUGAAGCACUGGCAAGUGACGUCCUUGGCUAUAUUUCCAGUCUUUUAAAGGAUACUGUCCUGAUGACGUGGGCAGAGCAGUGUGCUGGAGCUUCUUGUCUCGAAACCUGGACUUUCAUAAAGCUUCUCUCAUCUGUGGGUGAUUAUCUUAGGAAGCACUUUCCUGGGGUUCCCCGAUUGUGGCUGAGAGGAGCUGGAGCCAGUUCACGAACCACUGGAUCCACGGCCAGGACCAAGAUUUGUCAGCUCAGUGGGAAGUACAAGCUGUAACCACAGCUGAGCUACUCUCUUCUCAACAAGGGCCCCUGGAACCACGCGGCUCAGGGAAAACUGGGGAAGAGCCAGGAGCAUCUUGGAAGGAGCUGUGGGAUGUGAGUCAGUCAAACGACCAUAGAGACCUUGAACUUCUCUGAGUCCCGUCCCUUCAUAAGCACCAACAAUAGUAGGUCCUUCCCUGGAAGAAUUAAGCAGAAAAUGUCUAAGUGCUUUGCACCCUCGAGUGGCAAAGAGGGAUGCCUGAGACUCUUUGAACCCGAAGCCAAUGUUGUGUCAGCCACAGUGGUUAAGAGCACACGCUGGAGCAAAUCCUGACUCUAUGGCUACUUCCUAGCUGUGUGACUUGGGGACAGUCCUCUGAGACCAUCUGUUCCCGCCUCUGUAACCUAUGGAUAGUAAUAAUACCUACCUCAUAGGGUUGUGAGAGGAUUACAUAAGUCAAGGUAUGUGAAGCUCUUGGCACAGCACCUGGCAGGGAGUAAAGGCUGUAUAAGGACCCCUCUGCUUGUGAAGCACUUAGCACAGCACCUGGCACAGGGUAAAGACUGUAUUAGGAUCCCUUAACUAAAGCUUUUAAAUUGCUGCAUCUUCCCAGUGCAGGUGAUUUGCUGUGCUGACUCCCAUGGGGCCUGGUGACAGGCAAUAGAAAAUGAGUCUCUAAAGUCAUCCACUACUUUUCUCUUUCCUGUCCUCUCUCAAGGCCUGGAUGUGAGUGGUUGCAGUGGUGCAAGGUGAUCAGCUCAUCCCACUUUGUCUAGAACUUCCCAGGUGUUAGCACUGCAAGGCCCAUGCUCUGGGAACCCCUUGGGUCUCAGACAAGCCAGGAGGAGCAAGAUAUGGUGGCAGUUGGGUUUUGUGGGGUCAAGUGUGUGAUUGCAGACGGUAUUUGCUAGAGCUGCUAUAACCAAAUGGCACAGAUGAGGUAGCUUAACCAACAGAACACUAUUUCUCACAGUUGCAGAGUCUGGAUGUCCAAGAUCAAGGUCCUGGUGGGGUUGGUUUCUCCUGAGGCUUCUGUCCUGGAGAAGUGGAGGAGUAAGUCCCUCUUGCGGGGUCCCUAAGGCCACUUAGAGCACAACCGCAGAUAGGCCAGCAGAGAGGCAGAGGAGAUGAAAAGAUGGAUUACACUCAUAGAUCCUGGAGGAGGGAGGCACACCACACCACACAGGGGACCCACACAUGGGAAGAGCAUCCAGGAAGCAAGCUCCCUCAUGGGGUAAGGAGCUGAGACAAAGGACCUGCUGGCCAUGCCUUUACUGGGGGUCAGGGUAGAGUACACCAGCAAGAGGCAUGAAAAGGGUUCAUCGGUGCAUUUGAAUGUCACUGGGUCACAGUCAAAGGAAGGCCAGAAGGGAACUCGUGGCAGGCACAAGCCUGAUCACACCGGCACACCUGGUCAUCCAGGUGAGUAGGUACAGCCUGGAUGUGGGGAAGCCAAGGCAUCAGGAAAGCAAGAAUUUUGAGAACGUACCAAACACCUUGGCUUCCAGAUGGCCAUCUUCUCGCUGCGCCCUCGUAUGGCCCUCUCUCUUUGCACACGCAACCCUGGCAUCUCUUCCUCUUCUUAGAAGAACACCAGUCAUAUCCGACUAGGGCCUCACCCGUAUGACCCCAUUUGAUCCUAACUACCUCUUUAAAGGUUCCAGUUCCAAAUAUAUAUCGUCACACUGGGGAUUUGGGCUUCAACACAUGGAUCUGGAGGGAACACAGAUCUGCCAGUAACAGAGGCUAUGGGUUUCAAGGCAGAGGUUUUUCAGCGCGUCCCAUCCUCCACAUGGAACUUAAGGCAGCUGAAAGUUCUCACUGCACAUUGUUACCCUGUCACUUCGCCAUUGGUGGCACCGACAGCACACACAGUGAACUUUAAUUGGAGGGCAUAUCUCAGCAGCAAGCUAGCACCAGUUAUCCGCGGUCAACUGCUGCCAGGAAGUCGAUGAUCCUCCCUUUACGCAUGGUCAGAAGGUCAAUAGUAGCCUAACACUACACCUACCUCACUCACCUCACUUCAUCUCAUCACGUGGUCAUUUUAUUAUCUCACAUCCCCACAAGAGAUGACAAAGGGUGAGUACAAGACAAAUGAGAUAUUUUGAGAGAGACCACAUUCACAUAACUUCUAUUACGGUAUAUUGUUAUAAUUGCUCUAUUUUGUUCUUAGCUAUUGUUAAUCUCUUACUGUACCUAAUUUAUGAAUUAAACUUUAUCGUAUGUAUGCAUAGAAAAAAUGUAGUACAUAUUGGGUUUGGUACCAUCCAGUUUCAGGCAUCCAUGGGGGACGGUCUUAGAUUGUACUCCCUGUAGAUAAGAGGGGACCACUUGCCAGCCAUUAUAGUAAGCUAAGCACCCCCAUACAUAACUCAUAUGGAUCAUGUUCUAUAAAAUAGUAUAUCACUCUUAUUUCUUCACUGAACCUCUUAGAAACAGCCCACAUGUGGGCAGAUAGUGUUAUCACAUUGUUUUUGUUAAGAGAUGUUGUAUUAAUCAUACACAGAGGCGUAACAAAUUACCCCCAAACUUCGUGGCUUAAAACAAUAGCUUUUAUUAUCUUACAGUUUCUGUGGGUCAAGAGUCUGAAUGUGGCUUUGUCAGGUCCUUGGGCUGAGGGUCUCUUACAAAGCCACAAUCAGAAGGUGUGACAAGGGUUUGCACCUCAAGGUUCAAGUGCAGGGGGAUCCUCUUCCAAGCUCACUCACAUGGUUGCUGGCAGGAUGUGUUCUUCCUCGGCUAUCGAACUAAGAUUGCCCUCGGUUUCUGCCACAUGAGUCUCUCCAUAGGGCAGCCCACAACAUGGCAACUGGCUUCGUUGGAACAAGAGAAAAGAGCUGGGCAGAGAAAGUGUGAGCAAGACAGAAGUUGCGGUGUUUUGUAACCUAAUCUUGGAAGUGCCUGUGGUGUAUAGAGCUCUAAGAUGUUCCCCUGAUGUAUGCAUCCUAUAUAAUUCCAGGACUGUGAAUACGAUGGGAUAUCACUCCCAAGGUUGUGUUACAUUAUGUGGUCAAAAGGAUUUUGCAAAUGUCAUUAAGAUCUCAAGUUAGUAGACUUAAAGAUGAGGAGGUUAUCCAUGUGGAACUGACCUAACCACGUGAGUCCUUGAGAAAGCUAACUUCCACAUAUAUACUUAAGGAGCCUGGGUCUCAAGAUUAGAGAUGAAGUGAGUUAGAGACUCAAACAAAGCAUGAGAAGGAUUAGACACACUAUUACUGAUGUGAAAAUGGAAGGGGCCACAUGGAAAGGAAUAUGAGUGGCCGCUGGCAGCUGAAAGCAUCAUGUGGAUGACAGCCGACAAGGGAACAGGAACCUCAACUCUACAACCACCAGGAACUGCAUGCUGCCAUCAGCAAGAAUGGACUUGGACGUAGAUUUUCCCAAAUCUGUAGACAAGGACUCAGUGUGACCAAUAACUUGAUUUCAGAGUUGUGACACUUUGAGCAGAGCCCUGCUAACCUACAAACACUCAGACUCUUGGCUCCCAGAAAGAGUAAGAUAAUACAUUUAUGUUGUUAUGA
This is a long non-coding RNA of Canis lupus familiaris (dog), 4054 nucleotides long. RefSeq lists it as uncharacterized. The transcript has 7 exons. The record is from RefSeq and is a predicted model, not a curated record. Lineage: Eukaryota; Metazoa; Chordata; Mammalia; Carnivora; Canidae.